AUAAGAAGAAGAAAAAACAAA
RNAcentral lists this small RNA (21 nucleotides) under Arabidopsis thaliana (thale cress). RNAcentral's name for it is "ATSL013580". The record is from RNAcentral. Lineage: Eukaryota; Viridiplantae; Streptophyta; Magnoliopsida; Brassicales; Brassicaceae.